UUAGAGUUUGAUCAUGGCUCAGAUUGAACGCUGGCGGCAGGCCUAACACAUGCAAGUCGAGCGGAUGACGGGAGCUUGCUCCUUGAUUCAGCGGCGGACGGGUGAGUAAUGCCUAGGAAUCUGCCUGGUAGUGGGGGACAACGUUUCGAAAGGAACGCUAAUACCGCAUACGUCCUACGGGAGAAAGCAGGGGACCUUCGGGCCUUGCGCUAUCAGAUGAGCCUAGGUCGGAUUAGCUUGUUGGUGAGGUAAUGGCUCACCAAGGCGACGAUCCGUAACUGGUCUGAGAGGAUGAUCAGUCACACUGGAACUGAGACACGGUCCAGACUCCUACGGGAGGCAGCAGUGGGGAAUAUUGGACAAUGGGCGAAAGCCUGAUCCAGCCAUGCCGCGUGUGUGAAGAAGGUCUUCGGAUUGUAAAAAAGGUUAAGUUGGGAGGAAGGGCAGUAAGUUAAUACCCUUGCUGUUUUGACGUACCACGAUAAGCCC
Molecule: ribosomal RNA, 489 nt
Filed under: Pseudomonas putida
Lineage: Bacteria; Pseudomonadati; Pseudomonadota; Gammaproteobacteria; Pseudomonadales; Pseudomonadaceae
Description: bacterial SSU rRNA
Rfam family: Bacterial small subunit ribosomal RNA
Source: RNAcentral